GCACGAAAGCGUGGGUAGCAAACAGGAUUAGAUACCCUGGUAGUCCACGCCGUAAACGUUGAUUACUCGUUGUUGGCAAUACACCGUCAGCGACUGAGCAAAAGCAUUAAGUAAUCCACCUGGGGAGUACGUCAGCAAUGAUGAAACUCAAAGGAAUUGACGGGGGCCCGCACAAGCGGAGGAACAUGUGGUUUAAUUCGAUGAUACGCGAGGAACCUUACCUGGGCUUAAAUGUUUAGUGAUCGACCGGGAGACCGGUUUUUCCUUCGGGACACUUUACAAGGUGCUGCAUGGUUGUCGUCAGCUCGUGCCGUGAGGUGUCGGGUUAAGUCCCAUAACGAGCGCAACCCCUAUCGCCAGUUGCCAGCACAUAAUGGUGGGAACUCUGGUGAAACUGCCGGUGCAAACCGUGAGGAAGGUGGGGAUGACGUCAAAUCAGCACGGCCCUUAUGUCCAGGGCUACACACGUGUUACAAUGGUCGGUACAACAGGAUGCCAAUCCGCAAGGAUGAGCUAAUCCCAAAAGCCGAUCUUAGUUCGGAUCGGAGUCUGCAAUUCGACUCCGUGAAGUUGGAUUCGCUAGUAAUCGCAGAUCAGCCAUGCUGCGGUGAAUACGUUCCCGGGCAUUGUACACACCGCCCGUCAAGCCAUGGAAGCCGGGGGUGCAUGAAGUCCGUAACCGUAAGGAGCGGCCCAGGGUAAAACCAGU
RNAcentral lists this ribosomal RNA (709 nucleotides) under uncultured organism. Its description in RNAcentral is "bacterial SSU rRNA". It matches the Rfam family "Bacterial small subunit ribosomal RNA", at positions 751 to 1472 of the family's 1533-position model. The record is from RNAcentral.